This is an RNA transcript of Mercurialis annua (annual mercury), 1732 nucleotides long. It is a transcript of the gene named 4-hydroxybenzoate polyprenyltransferase, mitochondrial, with no coding region annotated. The record is from RefSeq and is a predicted model, not a curated record. Lineage: Eukaryota; Viridiplantae; Streptophyta; Magnoliopsida; Malpighiales; Euphorbiaceae. The transcript is spliced from 10 exons.
UUUAAAAAGAAAUAAGAAAUAAGAGUUCAGGUAUUCUCCAUCGCCACCUCUGCUUCCGGCCGUCACCGCCUUUACUUCCCGCUCUAGCCACCGCCUCUUCUUCCAAAUCCAUCUACCGCUUCUGCUUCCAGCUUCAGACGCCGUACUCCAAUCAGCUGUAGCCGUCGCACUCCUUUCAAAUCCAAUUGUCGACGUUCUCGGCCUCCUCAAAGAAACCGACCCAUUCUCGGCCUUAAAAGCGAAUCACUAGCGUUGCUUUGUCAUCUGCGUACAAGAUUUUAACUCUUGAUGUGUUGGAGUCAAGGUUUAUCAGAUGUUGUCAUUUUUACUCUCGCGUGCUACACGCAACACCACGAGAAGAUUCCUCAAUCCUUCUCCAUCCUCUUCGUUCUCUCUGUUCAACAAUACAGCAAUUGUCUCUUCAGGUUUCUCCGAAGAUUGCUCAUCGAAAACUAGUGCCAUUGUCCCUUCAGUUAACCAAGUUAUUCGAUCUUACUACUGGGUUACUCCGAACAAUUAUUUAUCCUGCGAGAAUCAGAAGUCCAACUUUAAUUUAAGGUUUGUUGGAAGAUUUUCAACCUUAUCGAGCUCAAAGAACAAUGACGAUCGGGAGAAAGGAGAGUUAUUGAAGGAGAAAGAUAUUUCUUGGAUUGAUUUAUACUUGCCGAGAUACACUAGGCCUUAUGCGCUGCUUGCUCGGCUUGAUAAGCCUAUAGGAACCUGGCUGCUUGCUUGGCCUUGCAUGUGGUCAAUUUCGCUGGCUUCAUCCCCAGGACAUCUUCCUGACUUUAGGAUGAUGGCAUUAUUUGGUUGUGGGGCUUUGCUUUUAAGGGGUGCUGGAUGUACCAUAAAUGAUCUCCUUGAUAGAGAUAUCGAUACCAAGGUGGAGCGUACUAAGCUGAGACCAGUUGCAAGUGGCCUUUUGUCACCAUUUCAAGGGCUUUGUUUUCUUGGUUUUCAAUUAUCCUUGGGUCUUGGAAUUCUUCUUCAGCUCAACAAUUAUAGCCGCGUUUUGGGGGCUUCAUCCUUGUUGCUAGUCUUCUCCUAUCCACUCAUGAAGAGAGUAACAUUUUGGCCUCAAGCCUUUCUAGGUUUGACAUUUAACUGGGGGGCGUUAUUAGGGUGGUCUGCUAUUAAAGGAAGUUUAGAUCCAGCUGUUGUGCUGCCACUGUAUGCGGGUGGAGUAUUUUGGACCCUUGUGUAUGAUACAAUUUAUGCACAUCAGGAUAAGGAGGACGAUCUAAAAGUGGGUGUAAAAUCAACCGCCUUGAGAUUCGAGAAUUCAACAAAGGAAUGGAUCACUGGGUUUGGCAUUGCCUGCAUAGCUAGUCUUGCCCUUAGUGGGGUCAAUGCUAAUAUUGGGUGGCCAUUUUAUGCAUGUUUGACGGCUGCUUCUGGACAUUUAGCUUGGCAGAUAUGGACCGUUAACUUAUCAUGCCGGUCCGAUUGCAAUAGGAAGUUUGUUUCAAAUAAAUGGUUUGGUGCUAUUAUUUUCAGCGGGGUUUUGUUUGGUAGAUACGUGUCAUGAAGGUAUUAUUACUUCUAUUUUUUGUAUAAGCUUUUUGUUCUUGAUUUGCUCCUCGCAUUCCUAGGAUUAAGUUAAUGGUAAAAUUUUGUAACUUAUGGAUAGGGGCUUUUGGUGAAAUUCAAAGCAUAUAGCAAUAUUCAGUCCCGGUUCCUGUGUUCUUAACAUUUAACAAGUUUAAUCAUUAACUUAUUUUUUGAAAUUUAA